RNAcentral lists this long non-coding RNA (1936 nucleotides) under Cricetulus griseus (Chinese hamster). RNAcentral's name for it is "lncRNA (ENSCGRG00015037778.1)". Lineage: Eukaryota; Metazoa; Chordata; Mammalia; Rodentia; Cricetidae. The record is from RNAcentral.
AUAGGGAGUGGCACGAUUAGGAGGUAUGGCUCUGUUGGUGUGUGUAUGGCCUUGUUGGAGGAAAUGUGUCUUUGUGGGAGUGGACUUUGAGGGUUCCUAUGCUCAGGAUACUGCUCAGUGAGUCAUUUUAACUUCCUGUUGCCUCUGAGUCAAGAUGCAGGACUCUCAGCUCCAGCACCAUGUCUACCCUAUAUGCCACCAUGCUCCCUGCCAUGAUGACAAUGGACUAAAUCCCUGAAACUGUAAGCAAGUGCCUCAGAUUUGUGCUGCCUUGCAAACAAGUGACAUUAAUCUGCCUUCAACAUAAAUGUGAAAACCUGGAGAACUGCACCUUACGAGGCCCCAUGAAGUGUUUGUAUCAGCUUCCAAGCUGGGUGAGAGUUUAAUCCCUGUGCCGUGUGUCUUUGCCCGUACGACUUCCUGUUCCACAGAGCAAGAGACUGGCAUCUUCCCUUUUAUACACUGCUGGGUUUUGAAAAUUGGAAGCACAUUGUUCAAUUAAGAACCAAUUAAUGUGACGCUCCAGCAUGAAAGAAGUGUUAGGCAAGAGGAACCCGCUGCAAACUAAUCAGUCUAAGUUUCAUUGACUCAUGAUCCACUGCUUCUUAAAGGCUUGAAAAUGUGCUUCAUCUCUGUCACCUCCAGCUCUUGUAACUUGACUGAGUUCCCAAACUAGGGAGAGUCAAGUUGAGUCAAGAUCACAUGGCGACCUUCCCAAGGGAGCCCAAUUUCUGCAAAAUAUGUACACACCAUGGGUGUGCCCUUUCUCUCCCUUCAGUCCUGAGUUAUUGCUUUGUAGCUGAAUGUUCUGAUUACCAUGUGACUCAAACGAUAAAUAGCAACCAGAAACUCAGAAGGCAUGCCAUGCAAUGGCAUUCUUUUAAGCACAGUUUGUGCCCAUGAGCUUCAGAUUCCUCGUCUCUUAAAUGGAAGCAACAGGGUCUAUUCAAUCAAAUCUGCCAGGAAGGACUAGAACAAGCCCUGUUUUAAUACAUGCCAGCCUCAGCAAUUAGUCCAUCAACUUAAAUUCUUCUUGCAGUUUCAAUUAGAUUGAGCACCCUUCCCUGGUUUCCACUCAGGCUGUUGUACAGUGUUUCUGCAAGGCGAACAGCUGUCUGAUGCCACCCCAGAGAGAGCUAUGUUUCAGCUACUCCUGUAUUCCUAGUUCAUAAAGCACUCAAAGAUCCAGUGGGUGAAAGGUGCUCAUUAGCACCACAAGAUGAUGUGUGUUAGUCGUAAAUAAGCAAUGGGAAAAGGCAGGCAGUGAUCACACACUUGCUAACAAGUCACUCAACACCCUAGCUGGAUCCCUGUCUAAGAUAUGGUUGAAAAGCAAAGACCAUCAAAUGGCAAACUUCAUAGGGGAUAUUUACUGUUGCUUUGAGAAGCAGAGUGGGGUGGGGGAAUUCACAAUCUUGUCAGCAUCACCUCCCACUCCAAAAUGAACAUUCUAAGGGAUUCUCUAUAUAGUCUGUCCUUGGAUGGGUUUAGUAGAUUAUUACUUUUGUAACACCAUUUAAGGACAUUCCAAAUGAUAUUCUCAGAGAAAGGCUUUGUCAAAAUUCUACGAAGUCCCAGUCCAUAUUGGCUUAUCUUUCCCUUCAUCUCCACCUCCACCUCUCAUUCUGCUCCACCCAUUCUUAUCUCCCUCUACUUAGGAGUGUCUUUAAAUAUGGCCUCCAGCAAUUCUCCAAAUCAUUUGUUUCCCUGUUUCUUGUUGUUCAUUUGUAACCCUGCCCUUCCAUUCCCUUUUCUAUCCUGCUCUGGGCUGGAGAAUUUGACCUGAUGCCUAGACUAGACUUCCUAGGCAGCAGCAUUAGCAAGAUAUGACAUUCCUUCCCAGCACUCUCUCUACUUUGUAACAAAGCUUCAGCCACAGCUUUACCCCUAAGUGACUUGGUCCCUGCUGUCUGCUCCUAGCCAGAACUCCAGCUCU